RNAcentral lists this long non-coding RNA (954 nucleotides) under Olea europaea subsp. europaea. The record is from RNAcentral. Lineage: Eukaryota; Viridiplantae; Streptophyta; Magnoliopsida; Lamiales; Oleaceae.
AUAUCAUCGAAGAAGCAAGCAGCCCAUUCAUUUACCAGUCCAAAAAUUUGAUUUGAUACAGAUUCAUUGAUCCUAUUUAAUCACCUCUUCCAGAGAUAAUAUAAUAUACAACCAAAAAAAAAAAAAAAAAAAAAAGGAAAAAAGAGAAUGAACAAUCACUACCUACUGCCUAUAGAAAUUCGAGAAGACAAAGUCCCAAUUGCACAAUUUAAAUCUCCAACUAGUCUCAAGAACAAAAUGCCUACGUACUUUGACUGAGAGAUAACAGAUCCCUAUUCUCUUCUAGUCGGUCCUUAUAGAUUUGGCCGAAGAAUGCUGGCAUUAACUUCAGAGAAACGAAGUAUUGAGAAGCCGUGAAAGUGAAAAUUUGCAGCAAAUGAUGCUAAUAUGAAUGGCAGCAGAAAGUCAAUGGUCAUUGAUAUGAGCACCAAUUGCAUUUGCUAAAAGGAAAGACAUUGCAAUAGCUUCUCGGUUCCUUGUAGAUCUAUUCAUAAAAAAUAAAAUUUGGUCAUUGUUAAAAGGAAACAAGGAAGAGGAAACUGAGAAAGAGAAGAUAAGAACCUUGUUAAGCUUAAUGAGCUCCCUCAAUAAUCCUGUACAGAAAACGCUUCCUCAACAAUCUUCAAAACAUUCAAAAACUUCCUUCCUAUCUUCUCAUCCAUUUCCAAUUAGAGUAAUCCGUCAAUAUCAUAUCUGAUACGACAUCCUCCUCCCUUGAUUUCAGAAGCUCCUUAACCCAACAGAUAUGAACCACCAGACGAGAUACUAUAGUAUAGAAUAAAAAGAGAGAAUAAUCCAGAGUGAAGAAUAGAUUAAUGGGUAGAGGCGUGAAUGGCAGCAUUUCAAUAUUUUGUAGUCCGAUUCUUCUGCAAGGAGCGACAACAAUGGAGAUGGAAGGCAGAGGGUGAAGGGUUCUAUUUUUCUUGUAAUCUGAAUAUCUGAUUUACCUUUUGG